Molecule: RNA transcript, 3068 nt
Organism: Drosophila mojavensis
Lineage: Eukaryota; Metazoa; Arthropoda; Insecta; Diptera; Drosophilidae
Gene name: verprolin
Exons: 6
Source: RefSeq, a predicted model, not a curated record
GCAUCGCUAGGCAGACAUAUUUCUUAUUGCGUGUGAGUUGAAAGAAAGACGCUUCUAAUUUCUCUCUUUUAAGUUAAAAUUUUUCCUCAUUUGAUUUUACUGCUAAACGUCAGAAAUGUCUGACGGUUUGCCCUCUGGCUCAUCUGCGGCCAAUCGCUCUGCCAAAAAGCGUAAACUGAAUUGGGGAAAGGCUAAAAAGCCAACUAAAUGGACGCACAAUGUCGAACAAAUAUUGGCCAAACGCUACGCGGAUGGGCGACCGCAACUAUUGUUAAAAUGGGUCGGUUAUCCAUUACAGCAAAGCACCUGGGAGCCCAUUGAGAACUUGAGCGGUGAUUGUCUGUCAAUGCUGGCGGACUUCGAGGCAGCUGAAUUUGCAAAGUUAAACGCUCAAACUCGAGGGUCAGACCGACGUCAGGGUGUUGUUGACUCAUCCCCACUGAAGCAAGAAAUGGAAUAUAAAAAGACACAGAAGCCUCAGCAGCGAAAGAAGCAAAAGAAGCAGCAGCCAAAACAGAAGUUUGAACCAAUGAAUCAACCAGAUCUGUCUUCAGAUUUAUGUCAGGAUCUUAUGGUCAGUAGCGACAGCAGCGACUGCGCCGGCAAUGACAGCGAUAAGGAAAGUGUCAGUGGCAGCAGCAGUAGCAGCAGCAGCAGCAGCAGUAACAGCAGCGGUAGCGACAGUGACAGCGAUGAUGCUAAGCGUCGGAAGCCAAAUCCAAAAUCUAAGCCUACGUCCAGUGCAUUUCUUAGCGAUCUGAAUUUGCCACCCAAACCUAAUCUAAGCAGCGAUGGUGAUUCUGAUGAUAACCCCACAUCACUGCCGAAACCAGUGCCAUCAGCGGCUCCAAAGAUGCUGCCAAUGGCAGCAGCGGCUCCAAUGAUGCCGCCAGUGGCACCAGUGGUUCCAAAGAUGCCGCCAGUGGCACCAGCGGCACCAAAGAUGCCGCCAGUAGCAUCAGCGGCUCCAAAAAUGCCGCCAGUAACAUCAGCGGCUCCAAAGAUGCCGCCAGUAACAUCAGCGGCUCCAAAGAUGCCGCCAGUGGCACCAGCGGCUCCAAAGAUGCCACCAGUGUCAUCAGCGGCUCCAAAGAUGCCACCAGUGGCACCAGCAGGCUUAAGGAUGCCACCAGCGGGUUUAAAGAUGCCACCAGCUGCUCCAAAGAUGCCACCAGCACCUCCAAAUAUGCCACUAGCGGCUUCAAGGAAGAAACCGGAGGCGUCAAAGAAGCCUAAGAUAAGGCCAGUGUCAAUGCCUUUACUUACACAGCCGCCUCUAGCUGCACAUAAGCCACCAAUAUCGUCUCUUGCUCCACCUGCACGUGCAGCAACUCCACCUCUUGCAAGAAUUGCAUCACUUAAACCAGCUGCAACAAAUGUGCCACGUCCAUCACUUAAGCCAUUGGACCCAUCAGUACCACUAUCGCAAUUUGAACCACUUGACCUGUCCCAAUCAGAACAACCUGUUAAAACAAAUGAUAAAAAUAUUGCUUCGAAAAAUAUUUAUAAACGAAGCUCUGUCAUGGAUCUAAAUCAUCCCGAUACUGUGAAAAACUCAAAGGUGGAACCCAUGUCGACAGCCAAUCUCGAUGUGCAGGAUUUAUCCAAAAGUUCGUGUUAUAUGAAGGAGAACAAUGAGCAUGCAAGCGAUAAUUUACAUAAAUCAUCCCAGAAGCCUGGAGCUUCAGAUGAGGAGAGCAGCAAGCGCAAAAAAAAGUCGCAAAGUCAACCGAAAUCAUCGAAGAAAAGUCGCUCUGAUGCGCUGCCGCUGACUAUGGAUACAUCUCCAAAAAAGAGUUCCAAAUCUAACAAAUCUAAGGCCUUGACAGUUGAGCAUACACAAGACAUACCAGCUCCAUUACCAAACCUGUCCGAAGUACCGAAGGAGAUCCCUGCCAGCACCACAAGUGCCGAAAGCAGCAGCAACGCUGCACCUGCUCAAACCGAAUGCGAUUAUCGACUCCACGAAAUGGGCAGGUGGGAUGAUGCACUAAACUUACAAGCUCGCGUCCAGGGCCUCCAACGUGGACUGACAUUGGAGAAAAUCCUUAAGGUGUUCAAGAUGCGAGGCGAAACCUAUCUGGUGGUCAAGUGGAAAACACUCACAACACCCGAUGCUGUGUCACUCUGUUCUAUCAUUGACAUGUAUCCGCACUUAGUUAUAGAGUACUUUGAGAAACUCCAGUUGCGCUGCCCCACAGAUACUUAAUACCUAUUAGCUCUAUUGGCGAUAGUCUCAGAUCUUUAUAGAGUUCCAAUUGGCAAGUUCGAUGCCUUUCAGAUUAAUGUUGUUGCUGCACUUAGUCGUCAAUUGGCAAACUAUAAAAAAAAUUUUUUUUUUUAAAUGUAUUUAUUCAUACGAAGUCUUCUUAAUUUUGUGAACUGCAGCUGGAAACCAGUUUAAUUUUAAUUUUUCCUAUAAUCUGAUGAAAUUACCCAACAAUUUAUUGCAACACUCUGAUGGCUGAACUAUUUUCACAUUCAAUAUGAUAUUACCAAGUGCUCCUCGAGAAACUACAAUUCCGAAGUUCGAUUAAUUGACAGCUGCUGGUCGCGUAUACCCUACUAAAACACUCUUGUUAUUUUGUUUCUUGUUUUUUUGCACUUUGUGACUUUACUUUCGCGUCUACCGCAACUUGUUGCAACUGUGCCACUGACUCUGCAGCUGGUCGGUCCCCUCUGUCGGUGGUUUGUUACUUUUUAUGGCUUCCAAACUGGGCUUUGGGCUGGCCUCACCCCGCCCCCUCGUGCCACCUUUGCUGCCUGCCUGGCUGCAGAACAACGAACUUUGAUUUCAUUCGACCAAGUGGACAGGCCAUAAAUCAUAAGCAAAAUCGAAAAAAAAGAAAGCGUUGACUACUAACGGAAGUGCUGAGUGCUGAGCCAUGGGCCUGGCCCCUAGAGCGUUGCCAUUUUCGACCCAUUGGGCGAAAGUAAAUCGAAAUUGAAGUACGUUUUGUACGGCUUUUAAAUGUCGCUGGUUGAUGGCCUUAAACGAGGGGCAGGCAGGUUUAUGUUGACGUUUUUUUAUGGCGCUGAAAUUCAUAAUAAAUAUCGAUACUUAAGUA